Molecule: ribosomal RNA, 291 nt
Filed under: uncultured Streptococcus sp.
Lineage: Bacteria; Bacillati; Bacillota; Bacilli; Lactobacillales; Streptococcaceae
Description: partial 16S ribosomal RNA
Rfam family: Bacterial small subunit ribosomal RNA
Source: RNAcentral
AACGAGCGCAACCCCUACUUGUUAGCUGCCAUCAUUCAGUUGGGCACUCUAGCGAGACUGCCGGUAAUAAACCGGAGGAAGGUGGGGAUGACGUCAAAUCAUCAUGCCCCUUAUGACCUGGGCUACACACGUGCUACAAUGGUUGGUACAACGAGUUGCGAGUCGGUGACGGCGAGCUAAUCUCUUAAAGCCAAUCUCAGCUCGGAUUGUAGGCUGCAACUCGCCUACGUGAAGUCGGAAUCGCUAGUAAUCGCGGAUCAGCACGCCGCGGUGAAUACGUUCCCGGGCCUU